CCUACGGGAGGCAGCAGUGGGGAAUUUUGGACAAUGGGCGAAAGCCUGAUCCAGCAAUGCCGCGUGAGUGAAGAAGGCCUUCGGGUUGUAAAGCUCUUUUGUCAGGGAAGAAACGGUGAGAGCUAAUAUCUCUUGCUAAUGACGGUACCUGAAGAAUAAGCACCGGCUAACUACGUGCCAGCAGCCGCGGUAAUACGUAGGGUGCAAGCGUUAAUCGGAAUUACUGGGCGUAAAGCGUGCGCAGGCGGUUUUGUAAGUCUGAUGUGAAAUCCCCGGGCUCAACCUGGGAAUUGCAUUGGAGACUGCAAGGCUAGAAUCUGGCAGAGGGGGGUAGAAUUCCACGUGUAGCAGUGAAAUGCGUAGAUAUGUGGAGGAACACCGAUGGCGAAGGCAGCCCCCUGGGUCAAGAUUGACGCUCAUGCACGAAAGCGUGGGGAGCAAACAGGAUUAGAUACCCUGGUAGUCCACGCCCUAAACGAUGUCUACUAGUUGUCGGGUCUUAAUUGACUUGGUAACGCAGCUAACGCGUGAAGUAGACCGCCUGGGGAUACGGUCGCAAGNUUAAAACUUAAGGAAUUGACGG
This 583-nucleotide ribosomal RNA is filed under the name uncultured bacterium. RNAcentral describes it as "bacterial SSU rRNA". It matches the Rfam family "Bacterial small subunit ribosomal RNA", at positions 338 to 916 of the family's 1533-position model. The record is from RNAcentral.